AGAAACGGUUGGGCGGAAGGGAAAAUAGUCCAAGGAGUGUGAGACCAGGAACUUGUAAGUCGUCGAUGAAGAAAGAAGGAAACAGUGAUAUUGACACUACCUUUGAGGCAGUACCUUUGAGAGUGGAUUCUUCCCACAGGGAGCUCUGGUAGCCCAACACAUGUUACACGUGUUUUCAGAAGCAAGUACGUCACACUGGGAGAUGUGUUUGGGAUACGCAUCUUUUGGGAUGUCAGCUCUCCGCACCCGAAGGUAUACACGUCAUUUGGUUAGUCUCAUUACCAUGUGAUAAAAGAGACAAAGAUGCCAAAUGCAGUUUACGGGAGAAUUACCAUUUUCCGUUCCGAAGUAACAGCACCCCCCAGCGUUUAAAUACCGAUUCCAUGUAGGGCGUUCAUUAACGCAGGGUUCUCAAGUAGGCAGGAGAAAUUAGUUAAUGGAUGUACGUGGAAAGCACAGGUCCGACUUGAUAGGGGAUUGACUGGUGACUGUGUGGUCCAUCGGAUAACGGUUCAUAUAACUGUACUUGAUAGGGUCUAGUGAGUACCGACAAACAAUAGUUGUUAUUGAUCGAUGGUGGUAUGUAAAUUGACAGCUUACUAUGCGCCUGGUGACUAGGCCCUCUGAUGCAGAGUGGUUUAAAUUACCUAUUCACGAUAUGUUUUGAUGACUAAUCAUGUUCAAUUCAAAUGCACCAGCCGGCGACUUUGGUCCAAACGGACAGCAUUGAUAGCAUGACUGGUUGUUUGUGGACACCGUGAUCAACUGUAUGGUCUAUCGUAAAGAUAACUGGUGAACAGGGUUCACUUAGAGGUCAUGGUUAAUAGCUGCGUAUGCUUUGAAAUAUAUGCGUUGCUUUGAUAACAACCCAGUCAAUAACCCAGCAAAACAUACCGUUUAAUAAUGGUCCAUUAUAAUAAUGACCAUAGAUCCAACAUGUAGUGUAUGUGACCUUUAAAUAAUAGAAAAUAUCAUUGGCAGUUAAUUUAUGCAUUUUAUGAAAAAAGGAAAUAUUGAUUCCAGAUAUUAUUAUGAAUGUUAUUAUUUUUCCUUUGAAAACGUAUCAGUAGUCAAUAGAUAUACAUGUACAUGUAUUUCCGUCAAAGAACCUUUUCAGAAUGUCAGCGCAUUUUGGAAAGAAAUCUACGCAUGAAAUUAUAAAUGCAAAAGUAUGAUCAUGAUUGUAUGCAGGUUUUUAUGCAUGUGCGGAAUACGUGUAAAAAGUA
Long non-coding RNA from Haliotis rubra (blacklip abalone), 1226 nucleotides. RefSeq lists it as uncharacterized. The record is from RefSeq and is a predicted model, not a curated record. NCBI's taxonomy places the organism in Eukaryota, Metazoa, Mollusca, Gastropoda, Lepetellida, Haliotidae. The transcript is spliced from 2 exons.